GAUGAACGCUGGCGGCGUGCCUAAUACAUGCAAGUCGAGCGAACAGAUGAGGAGCUUGCUCCUCUGACGUUAGCGGCGGACGGGUGAGUAACACGUGGAUAACCUACCUAUAAGACUGGGAUAACUACGGGAAACCGGAGCUAAUACCGGAUAAUAUAUUGAACCGCAUGGUUCAAUAGUGAAAGACGGUUUUGCUGUCGCUUAUAGAUGGAUCCGCGCCGCAUUAGCUAGUUGGUAAGGUAACGGCUUACCAAGGCAACGAUGCGUAGCCGACCUGAGAGGGUGAUCGGCCACACUGGAACUGAGACACGGUCCAGACUCCUACGGGAGGCAGCAGUAGGGAAUCUUCCGCAAUGGGCGAAAGCCUGACGGAGCAACGCCGCGUGAGUGAUGAAGGUCUUCGGAUCGUAAAACUCUGUUAUUAGGGAAGAACAAAUGUGUAAGUAACUAUGCACGUCUUGACGGUACCUAAUCAGAAAGCCACGGCUAACUACGUG
This 497-nucleotide ribosomal RNA is filed under the name uncultured bacterium. RNAcentral describes it as "partial 16S ribosomal RNA". It matches the Rfam family "Bacterial small subunit ribosomal RNA", at positions 28 to 507 of the family's 1533-position model. The record is from RNAcentral.